CCCUCUGGGGUGCACCAGGCGAAGGGGCUCGAGUUCGAUGUCGUCUUCCUGAUCAUGCUGUGCGAAGGCAUGUUCCCCAACGCACGCUCGUUGGAGCACCCGGACGCCCUCGAAGAGGAGAGGCGCUUGCUGUAUGUCAGCAUUACACGCGCUCGAAACGAACUGUAUCUUUGUUAUCCGGCGCUCCGUGCAGGCUAUGGAGGCGGCGACCUGCUUCAGUCACCUUCGCGGUUCCUGAGCGAGAUCCCGCGCGACCUUCUGGAGGAAUGGAAUCUCAGGCACUUCUGAGGGGUCACGGACCACCGGGAGAGGAGUCCCGCAACCGUUUGAGAUCUUCUGCGAGAAAGGCAGUCAACGCCUUGAAUUUCGCUACAUUGGCGGGAGAGC
This 387-nucleotide ribosomal RNA is filed under the name uncultured prokaryote. RNAcentral's name for it is "partial 16S ribosomal RNA". The record is from RNAcentral.